This 455-nucleotide ribosomal RNA is filed under the name uncultured beta proteobacterium. RNAcentral's name for it is "SSU rRNA". It matches the Rfam family "Bacterial small subunit ribosomal RNA", at positions 242 to 689 of the family's 1533-position model. The record is from RNAcentral. Lineage: Bacteria; Pseudomonadati; Pseudomonadota; Betaproteobacteria.
CAGCUAGUUGGUGGGGUAAAGGCCCACCAAGGCGACGAUCAGUAGCUGGUCUGAGAGGACGAUCAGCCACACUGGGACUGAGACACGGCCCAGACUCCUACGGGAGGCAGCAGUGGGGAAUUUUGGACAAUGGGGGCAACCCUGAUCCAGCAAUGCCGCGUGUGUGAAGAAGGCCUUCGGGUUGUAAAGCACUUUUGUCCGGAAAGAAAUCGCACUUACUAAUAUUAGGUGUGGAUGACGGUACCGGAAGAAUAAGGACCGGCUAACUACGUGCCAGCAGCCGCGGUAAUACGUAGGGUCCAAGCGUUAAUCGGAAUUACUGGGCGUAAAGCGUGCGCAGGCGGUUGUGCAAGACCGAUGUGAAAUCCCCGGGCUUAACCUGGGAAUUGCAUUGGUGACUGCACGGCUAGAGUGUGUCAGAGGGGGGUAGAAUUUCUCGUGUAGCAAUGAAAUGC